AGCACAUUCAAUUCAUGAGACAUUAGAAAAUUCCAAGUCACAAAUCAUCCAAAAUAUAUAAAUGAUUAUAACAAAUAGAUAACUUUCCUGAUGACAAAAAGCAUAAGCCCUUAAGCACAAUAUUAUAACACACUAUAUACUGCUGCAAAUACAACAAAAAUUACAAAUUCAAGAUUGGAUAAUAAGUUAAAAGAAUUAUCGCACAUACAAGGUGGACAACCAAAGCAAAGAAAAGCAUAUGGUUCGUUGUUUAGCUUGUGCUGGACACUGGCAUACCCAGAUAUAUCUAUUCAGGCUUUCUAGAGAGAAUAUUUUAUAAAACCAGAUAUCAUAGAGAGACCAAUUAACUGAGACGUCUGCGACCUUUUCUAAAACUCAAGGAAUUACACACAUUGAUCUCUGACAUCUUAAUAAAUCUCUCAAAUAAUAGACAAAAUUCUAAAAUAAUUUUGGAUAAUGAAUCCAUAUUUUGAAGGUAGAGGAAAACAUCAAGAAUACUUGUUUUUACUGAAAGAAUAAUCAUACACUGAAAAUUUUCGAAACAAUAUUAGGUGCAAGUCAUCAAAAAACAGAAAACUUAGGGUGAGGUGCAGCGAUAGGAAAAUAAUGAAACUAACAGGAAGCUUGUAGAAGAUUUCUAGCGUCAGCAAAUGGGAAAUGACAUGAAGCUUACCCAAAGUUCACUAAGCCCUUUAUCCAACAAUAGAAUCUAUCGGAACGGACACCAAACCACAUUUAUAGCACAAUUACAAACACUUUGUACUAGAACGAUAUCGAUUGCUAUCCUAAAAGGACGAUAAACCAAUGCUACUCCAGGCCGAGAAAAUUUACACAAAGAAGCAUGUACACUAUCAAAUAAAUCAAUCUGAAUCCCAUCAUCGAGAAAUAUGAAAAGAAAACGAGAGAAGCGAACUUACGGGAGUUGGCCAUGGAGAUUUCA
Molecule: unclassified non-coding RNA, 940 nt
Filed under: Hevea brasiliensis (rubber tree)
Lineage: Eukaryota; Viridiplantae; Streptophyta; Magnoliopsida; Malpighiales; Euphorbiaceae
Source: RNAcentral